Molecule: ribosomal RNA, 375 nt
Filed under: Bacillus velezensis
Lineage: Bacteria; Bacillati; Bacillota; Bacilli; Caryophanales; Bacillaceae
Description: bacterial SSU rRNA
Rfam family: Bacterial small subunit ribosomal RNA
Source: RNAcentral
CUCCCUGAUGUUAGCGGCGGACGGGUGAGUAACACGUGGGUAACCUGCCUGUAAGACUGGGAUAACUCCGGGAAACCGGGGCUAAUACCGGAUGGUUGUCUGAACCGCAUGGUUCAGACAUAAAAGGUGGCUUCGGCUACCACUUACAGAUGGACCCGCGGCGCACUAGCUAGUUGGUGAGGUAACGGCUCACCAAGGCGACAAUACGUAACCGACAUGAGAGGGUGAGCGGCCACACUGGGACUGAGACACAGCCCCCACACCCCCAGGAGGGGCCACUAUGGAAUCUUCCCCAAUGGGAGAAAGUCUCACACAGAACCGCCCCGCGAGAGAGGAAAGUGUUCUCAUCUCAUAACUCUCUUUUGAUGGGAAAAA